This 491-nucleotide ribosomal RNA is filed under the name uncultured bacterium. Its description in RNAcentral is "bacterial SSU rRNA". It matches the Rfam family "Bacterial small subunit ribosomal RNA", at positions 228 to 734 of the family's 1533-position model. The record is from RNAcentral.
AGCUCGCGGCCUAUCAGCUAGUUGGUGAGGUAAUGGCUCACCAAGGCGACGACGGGUAGCCGGCCUGAGAGGGCGACCGGCCACACUGGGACUGAGACACGGCCCAGACUCCUACGGGAGGCAGCAGUGGGGAAUAUUGCACAAUGGGCGAAAGCCUGAUGCAGCGACGCCGCGUGAGGGAUGACGGCCUUCGGGUUGUAAACCUCUUUCAGCAGGGAAGAAGCGAAAGUGACGGUACCUGCAGAAGAAGCACCGGCUAACUACGUGCCAGCAGCCGCGGUAAUACGUAGGGUGCAAGCGUUGUCCGGAAUUAUUGGGCGUAAAGAGCUCGUAGGCGGUUUGUCGCGUCUGCUGUGAAAACCCGAGGCUCAACCUCGGGCCUGCAGUGGGUACGGGCAGACUAGAGUGCGGUAGGGGAGACUGGAAUUCCUGGUGUAGCGGUGGAAUGCGCAGAUAUCAGGAGGAACCCCCCGCCGCGCCCCGCGCCCGGC